CGCCCGUCAAACUAUGAGAGCUGGUAAUACCUAAAACCGUUAAGAUAACCUCGUGAGUCUUGCGUCUAGGGUAGGACUGGUGAUUGGAGUUAAGUCGUAACAAGGUACCCCUACGGGAAUGUGGGGGUGGAUCACCUCCUUUCUAACGGAGUUAAUUUUAGAUAAUUAACAAAUAUUAGAAUAUUUUAAAUAUUUGUGUACUUUUUAUAGAAAUCCAAAAAAUAAAUAAACCUAAAUAAAAAAUUAUUUUUUGGUCGGAUUCUAUUUAGUUUUGAGAGAUAUUUUCUCUCAUGAUAGUUCUUUGAAAACUGAAUAUUAUACAAUCUUUUUAGUCUAAUCAUAUUUAAUAAUAGAAUAAGGAUACAAAAUAAGUUACUAAGGGCUUAUGGUGGAUGCCUUGGGACUGGAAGGCGAUGAAGGACGUGCUAAUCUGCGAUAAGCUACGGGUAGUUGAUAAGGUGCAUUAAUCCGUAGAUGUCCGAAUGGGGAAACCUGGUUAACAGUAAUGUUAAUCAUCUUUGACUGAAUAAAUAGGUCAUUGAAGCGAUACCUAGUGAAGUGAAACAUCUCAGUAACUAGAGGAAAAGAAAACGAAGUGAUUCCGUAAGUAGUGGCGAGCGAAAGCGGAGGAGGCCAAACCGAAUUAAUUUUCGGGGUUAUAGGACUGCAAUAUGGACUUAUGGUAGAUAGUAGAACAAGUUGGGAAGCUUGAUCAUAGAAGGUGAUAAUCCUGUAUACGAAAUCUAUCAUAUACCUAGCAGUAUCCUGAGUACGGCGAGACACGUGGAAUCUUGUCGGAAUUUGCCCAGACCAUUGGGUAAGCCUAAAUACUAAUCAGUCACCGAUAGCGUAUA
Molecule: small RNA, 854 nt
Filed under: Malacoplasma muris
Lineage: Bacteria; Bacillati; Mycoplasmatota; Mycoplasmoidales; Mycoplasmoidaceae
Description: bacterial LSU rRNA
Rfam family: Bacterial large subunit ribosomal RNA (bases 366-854)
Source: RNAcentral